RNAcentral lists this ribosomal RNA (359 nucleotides) under uncultured Leifsonia sp. Its description in RNAcentral is "bacterial SSU rRNA". It matches the Rfam family "Bacterial small subunit ribosomal RNA", at positions 505 to 863 of the family's 1533-position model. Lineage: Bacteria; Bacillati; Actinomycetota; Actinomycetes; Micrococcales; Microbacteriaceae. The record is from RNAcentral.
GUGCCAGCAGCGGCGGUAAUACGUAGGGUGCAAGCGUUAUCCGGAAUUAUUGGGCGUAAAGAGCUCGUAGGCGGUUUGUCGCGUCUGCUGUGAAAACCCGAGGCUCAACCUCGGGCCUGCAGUGGGUACGGGCAGACUAGAGUGCGGUAGGGGAGAUUGGAAUUCCUGGUGUAGCGGUGGAAUGCGCAGAUAUCAGGAGGAACACCGAUGGCGAAGGCAGAUCUCUGGGCCGUAACUGACGCUGAGGAGCGAAAGCGUGGGAGCGAACAGGAUAGAUACCCUGGUAGUCCACGCCGUAAACGGUUGGACGCUAGAUGGUGGGACCAUUCCGCGGUUUCCGUGUCGCAGCUACGCAUUAA